Molecule: ribosomal RNA, 265 nt
Filed under: uncultured bacterium
Lineage: Bacteria
Description: partial 16S ribosomal RNA
Rfam family: Bacterial small subunit ribosomal RNA
Source: RNAcentral
GUCCACGCCGUAAACGAUUGAUGCUAGCCGUUGGAUAGCUUGCUAUUCGGUGGCGCAGCUAACGCAUUAAGCAUCCCGCCUGGGGAGUACGGCCGCAAGGUUAAAACUCAAAGGAAUUGACGGGGGCCCCGCACAAGCGGUGGAGCAUGUGGUUUAAUUCGACGCAACGCGAAGAACCUUACCAGCUCUUGACAUUCACUGAUCGCCUGGAGAGAUCCGGGAGUCCUAGCAAUAGGCAGUGGGACAGGUGCUGCAUGGCUGUCGU